Molecule: ribosomal RNA, 254 nt
Filed under: uncultured bacterium
Lineage: Bacteria
Description: partial 16S ribosomal RNA
Rfam family: Bacterial small subunit ribosomal RNA
Source: RNAcentral
GACGGGGGGGGCAAGCGUUGUUCGGAAUUACUGGGCGUAAAGGGCUCGUAGGCGGUCAACUAAGUCAGACGUGAAAUCCCUCGGCUUAACCGGGGAACUGCGUCUGAUACUGGAUGGCUUGAGUUUGGGAGAGGGAUGCGGAAUUCCAGGUGUAGCGGUGAAAUGCGUAGAUAUCUGGAGGAACCCCGGUGGCGAAGGGGGCAUCCUGGACCAACACUGACGCUUAGUGAGCGAAAGCCAGGGGAGCAAACAGG